This 1907-nucleotide long non-coding RNA is filed under the name Theobroma cacao (cacao). Its description in RNAcentral is "long non-coding RNA (TCAC_LNC002411)". Lineage: Eukaryota; Viridiplantae; Streptophyta; Magnoliopsida; Malvales; Malvaceae. The record is from RNAcentral.
AAGCAUGAAGUGAAGAGGAAAGGAAAGACCACAAACCCUAUGUGGGAAAAUUGAAGAAAAGUGUGGGAUUUCAAGGGAUUAAGCUAAUAAAGGUAAAAUUUUGUGAUUUUAUCUUGUGAUUUACAUUACCCAUGCUUUCUUUUUCAUUUUCCAUGCUUAGAACUCAAGUUUACAUGAUGAACCCAUGUUGGCUGAAUUUGAGAGGAGAGGUUUUGAGCAUUGAUUUUGCUAGAUUUCAAGCUAAUUAAGUGUUUUUGGUUGUUUGGUAAUGAAAAGUAUGAAAAUCUAGCAAGGAAUCACUUUGUUCUUCACAAACUCACAAGAGGCCAAAUUUUCUAGGGAGCAUAUUGAGGCUGAAAUUGAUGAUAUUUCACGAUAUUUUGGUGGUAUUUAAUGAUUGGUGAGGCUAGAAAUUUAAUGGGAAAUUUUGGCAUGAAAAUCUGAAUUUUUACCUAAUGUAUAGACAUGUGCGAUUUAUGGUUCGGACUAAUAAAUUGAAUCAUAUUCAUAGUCAUUGAGGUAUUUUAAGUAUAAUUGGAGUGUAGAAAGUGAAAGAAAUCGAUUUGGAGUUAAAUUGGAGGUUUUAGCCAAUUACAUUGAGAAUAGUGCGAAUUAGGUCGAAUACCGUAUUUAAACAGCUAUUCGGACAUUUUGCAUCACAUUUCGUGCAUUCAUAUAAAGAUAUAGAGCCUGAAAUAGUUUAUGAUAAAUUGACACAAUUUAUUGAAAUUCGUGUCACGUAUGAUAAAUAGGUGGUGAGCCCUCUAAUAAAGGUAAAGAGAUUGUGCCCGAAGAUCGGGAAUAGAAGUAUAUCGAACUCCUAGUACUGUGAGUAAACUUACUAUCGUCUUAAUUAUCUAAAGUAUGUUUUAUCCGAUUUUGUGACUUUUAUGGAAAAUGAAUUAAAUGAUUAAUUUUUCGAUUUUAUAAACAAAAUGUGAUUUAAUGAAAUGAUUUCAUAAAAUUGUUUUAAAAUUGAAUGAUGGUUUGAAAAUAGAGUAAUUGGAGACUGUUUUCAUGUGUUGUAAAUUCAUGGCUUGAAUCAAAUGGCUUAUGACAAUAUUUGCAUGAAUGGCUGAAUUGGUAUUUGUGUUGAAAUAUAUAUGAAUUAUGUAUUUAGCCUUGAAAGGUUGUGAAUUACAAUAAUUGUCAUAUCAUGUUAUUGAAUUUUAUUGAUUGGUGAGAUAAUUAUUAGCUUACUGCAGUGAGCGAGUUUCGUGGACCAGUCUAUUAGAGGGGCACGAUAACCUCGUUAUAUCUUACCUUAGUAUGAGAGGCACGGGUGGUUAACUCCUGAGGUUAACACUUUUAGAGUUCACUUCACGUCAAACCACCACUUGAGUGGGAACUCAGCCAAUGCCAAGGAACGGCUAUGUUUUCAAAAUAAAAACAUGAUUUAUGCGUACAUAACUUUUUAACAGCCUUGGCAGACUCGGUUUGGGAUAGCCGUCGGCCAAGGUAUCCCUAAUGACUGAUUAUGAUAAUGAUUUUGGCACAAGCCAAAGUUUUAAGAAAUUCAUAAGCCAUGUUAAUUAGUCGAUUUAUAUGAAUUGAUUUUAUUUGGUUGAAACAAGUUGAAAGGUGAUGAAUUUUAGUAUGUUAAACUAUUUUAUCUGUCUCAAUUUACUCGACUUUAGAUGGUUUAGAUGGUAUCUGUUUACUCAUUGGGAUUUUAUAAUCUCACCACCCUUCUUUUCAACCAUUUCAGGCCCGAGGUAGCCUGUGGAUAGCAGAAAUUUUCAAGGAUUAUAGUCGGCUUUACUACUCCAAAAACUGUGGGUUUACUGCCUUUGUGCAUUUUUGUUCCUUGUGGGCCCACGAGUCACUGUAAAGUAAAUUUCAUAUCCCGGUUAUCUGUAUUAUAGUAUGUAUGAAUUUAUUUAUCUUUUACAUUACAAAAAUAAUUU